RNAcentral lists this ribosomal RNA (492 nucleotides) under uncultured bacterium. RNAcentral describes it as "partial 16S ribosomal RNA". It matches the Rfam family "Bacterial small subunit ribosomal RNA", at positions 29 to 507 of the family's 1533-position model. The record is from RNAcentral.
AGUGAACGCUGGCGGUAGGCCUAACACAUGCAGGUCGAACGGCAGCACAGUAAGAGCUUGCUCUUACGGGUGGCGAGUGGCGGAUGGGUGAGGAAUACAUCGGAAUCUACUUUUUCGUGGGGGAUAACGUAGGGAAACUUACGCUAAUACCGCAUACGACCUACGGGUGAAAGCAGGGGAUCUUCGGACCUUGCGCGAUUGAAUGAGCCGAUGUCGGAUUAGCUAGUUGGCGGGGUAAAGGCCCACCAAGGCGACGAUCCGUAGCUGGUCUGAGAGGAUGAUCAGCCACACUGGAACUGAGACACGGUCCAGACUCCUACGGGAGGCAGCAGUGGGGAAUAUUGGACAAUGGGCGCAAGCCUGAUCCAGCCAUACCGCGUGGGUGAAGAAGGCCUUCGGGUUGUAAAGCCCUUUUGUUGGGAAAGAAAAGCAGCAGGUUAAUACCCCGCUGUUCUGACGGUACCCAAAGAAUAAGCACCGGCUAACUUCGUG